AGCCACUUUAAACAGCCCCACUGCAGCACAGUCAGAGAUCAAUGGAACCCAUCCUGCAUUUGAAUGAAUUCCCUCAUUACAGCCUGUUCCUGCCACAUGCCCCUGUGGAUUUGGAAGGGUGGCAUGAUGGAGGAUGGAAAGUAGACCCCAUAUAGAGCACCAGUAAUGUGCAGUACCUCAGAGCCUGAUGCUGCACCAAGAUGGCCUCUCUUUGACUGAGCUUGGCAAGGGAGAAGAGCAAAUGCAGAACUGCUUGUCUGUCUGUGAUCUCAAGAGAUAUAGAUCUCUUGGAGGACUGCCAGAGUGAAACAGGAUUUGACAUGAAUGAAAAUUAGGCUUGCUGGGCUGCCACAUAUGAAGAAAAUAGACAACUAUGAAGAAAAUGGACCACUUGGGAACUCCUGCCAUUUUACACCAGCUGGGAGUGUCUGAAUUUGAACCCACAAUUCAAUUCUGUUCCCUACCUUUCCCCACUGGUAUUCCUGUGACCACCAUGGGAGCACAAAGGAAGAUACAAAGAAGACAGUUCUCCAUUCUUGUUCCAGGCUGGGCUGGCUUAGCCCACCCACCAUGUCUCAAGAAACAAAGGAGAGUUCUAUGUGCAGGGAGGUAUUGAUGGCAGCUGCCCACUUUCUCCCUUCCAAGCCCAGCAAAGUGGUUAAUACAUUGAAGUGUGUACCUUUUUCAUUUCAGUAGGACUGUUUGGCCUUAAGUAGACCAUGAGAUAUCAUGCUAGACUGAGACCUGCUAAAGAAACACAACAUUUUAACUGAUUUCCUUUAUGUGGACUUCUCUUAAGCAGACACUUGAAUUUUGCUACUGCAUAGCCCUUUAACUAGUUAGUCUGUUAAAAACAC
Pezoporus occidentalis (night parrot) is the source of this 857-nucleotide long non-coding RNA. RefSeq lists it as uncharacterized. Lineage: Eukaryota; Metazoa; Chordata; Aves; Psittaciformes; Psittacidae. The record is from RefSeq and is a predicted model, not a curated record. The transcript has 4 exons.